Molecule: long non-coding RNA, 1422 nt
Filed under: Olea europaea subsp. europaea
Lineage: Eukaryota; Viridiplantae; Streptophyta; Magnoliopsida; Lamiales; Oleaceae
Source: RNAcentral
CGACGAGCUGGUGGAGAUGAUGAGGGUGAAAAUUGUUAGUGAAGCAAUGAUUGAUCAUCGCAACCGUGCCGCGCAGGGACUCCCUCCCCCACAGAGGCAGGUAGGUCGAGGCCCCGCAGCGCACUUUGUUACCCAGCAAUGGACCCAAGCAGGGCAUACCAUAGCUCCCAUAUUCGGACAGGCCCUAGCUUCCGCCACAUUGAACGCAGUGCCGGUGUUGGCAUAUGAUAACGCACCCGCUGAGGCAGGACCAUCUGGAAGGACUGACAACAGCAAGAAGAAGAAAAAGAUGCUAAACAGGCCCUUGCCAGGAGCAAGAUUUUGUACUUUCCAUCAACUAUACGGGCAUGACACCAGCGAGUGUCGGGAUGCCAACCGGCGCCCUGAUCGAAGCAACCCCCACACUUCCAGCAGAAACGAGCACCCCCGCAGAUCCACCUCCCUGAGGAGGGGAGGAAGGGGUCACCAGGAUCAAUCUCCUCGCAGAAGAGAAUCAAGAAACCGAGGCCAAUCCAGGCAAGAGAACCAAGCCCAAUUCGCUGGAAGCCAGGUCGUCAGGGAAAUCGAUACCAUCAUUGGGGGACCCCACGUAGGUGGCAACACCAGAAAUGCCCAGAGAAAUUAUACAAGAGAAGCUAAGGAUCCCCCGAUGAUCACCUACAUUGUCGACGAAUCAAAAUCAGCAAACGAGAUGGCCCCAAUCACCUUCUCACAGGAAGACUCUGAGGGAGUUCACCAUCCCCAUCGCGAUGCUUUGGUUGUAAGGGCUGUAGUGGCUAGAAACGGAUUAAAACGCAUGCUCGUUGACAACGGCAGUUCCGUGAACAUAUUGUUCGGCUCCACUUUUGACAAAAUGCAAAUUGAACAUGGGUUAAUCCCCAUGACUGACCCACUGUUCGAAUUCACUGGGGACAGCAUCAUCCCACGAGGGCGGAUCACCCUGCCUGUGGAAAUGGGUUCGGCCCCCCUGGUCGCCUAGCAUUUCAUGGAAUUUCUGGUGGUAGAUCACAGGUCGGCUUAUCAUGGAGUACUGGGCAGACCUGCUCUAAAAGAUCUUUGGGCUGUGACGUCCAUUCACUAUCUGUGCAUGAAAUUCCCAACUGAACGUGGGAUUGCAACGGUCCGGGGCGAUCAGAUGGGCUCCGGGGCGAUCAGAUGGGCAUGCUACCUAAACUCGCUACGUAAAUCUGAGCCCCGAACUGUUAAUGUAAUUCUAGCCGAAGUACCCGCUGAAGCCGGUACUGAUGUGGAAAUGCUUGACGCCCCUGAACAAGGGCAUACCUCUGAACAAGAGGAAGAUGUCGUAAUAGAAGAGGCCCCUGAACAAGGACACCCUCUUGAUGAGUUAGACCCCCGAAUAAUCGAUUAUGAACCGAAUGCGACCCCAAUGGAAGAACUGGAAACUUUCCCAGUCAAUCCAGA